This 196-nucleotide ribosomal RNA is filed under the name uncultured bacterium. RNAcentral describes it as "partial 16S ribosomal RNA". It matches the Rfam family "Bacterial small subunit ribosomal RNA", at positions 337 to 525 of the family's 1533-position model. The record is from RNAcentral.
UCCUACGGGAGGCAGCAGUGGGGAAUUUUGGACAAUGGGCGAAAGCCUGAUCCAGCCAUGCCGCGUGUGUGAAGAAGGUCUUCGGAUUGUAAAGCACUUUAAGUUGGGAGGAAGGGCAGUUACCUAAUACGUAAUUGUUUUGACGUUACCGACAGAAUAAGCACCGGCUAACUCUGUGCCAGCACCCGCGGUAAUA